RNAcentral lists this ribosomal RNA (253 nucleotides) under uncultured bacterium. RNAcentral describes it as "partial 16S ribosomal RNA". It matches the Rfam family "Bacterial small subunit ribosomal RNA", at positions 524 to 776 of the family's 1533-position model. The record is from RNAcentral.
GACAGAGGGUGCAAACGUUGUUCGGAAUUACUGGGCGUAAAGCGCGUGUAGGCGGCCCUGCAAGUCGGAUGUGAAAUCCCACGGCUCAACCGUGGAAGUGCAUUCGAAACUGCAGGGCUAGAGUCCUGGAGAGGAAGGUGGAAUUCCUGGUGUAGCGGUGAAAUGCGCAGAUAUCAGGAGGAACACCGGUGGCGAAGGCGGGUCUCUGGGCCGUAACUGACGCUGAGGAGCGAAAGCAUGGGGAGCGAACAGG